This is a non-coding RNA of Phrynosoma platyrhinos (Desert horned lizard), 72 nucleotides long. NCBI's taxonomy places the organism in Eukaryota, Metazoa, Chordata, Lepidosauria, Squamata, Phrynosomatidae. The record is from the annotation of a GenBank genome assembly.
GGCAACGUGGCGCAGUGGCUUGAACAUUGGACUAUGACUCUGGAGACCAGGGUUCGAAUCUUGGCUCAGCCA